UCUAAUGGCUCAAACACCUAAUGGAAAAAUCCAUGUUGAAUGGACUAUAUGAGCGCUAUUGGCACUCUUUGAGGCAUUAUUCAGCACUAGUAGGAACACAAAGUGCAAUCAAUGAAAAGAGAGAUUAAACAAAGCUAUCCGCUCUCCAUUCAAUUAAUCUCGUGCGUUGAUCCUUGGACGGCUACAACUUUUCCACUUUUUAACCUUUAGUCCU
Molecule: long non-coding RNA, 214 nt
Filed under: Ricinus communis (castor bean)
Lineage: Eukaryota; Viridiplantae; Streptophyta; Magnoliopsida; Malpighiales; Euphorbiaceae
Description: long non-coding RNA (RCOM_LNC002947)
Source: RNAcentral